GAGUAAUGUCUGGGAAACUGCCUGAUGGAGGGGGGAUAACUACUGGAAACGGUAGCUAAUACCGCAUAACGUCGCAAGACCAAAGAGGGGGACCUUCGGGCCUCUUGCCAUCGGAUGUGCCCAGAUGGGAUUAGCUAGUAGGUGGGGUAACGGCUCACCUAGGCGACGAUCCCUAGCUGGUCUGAGAGGAUGACCAGCCACACUGGAACUGAGACACGGUCCAGACUCCUACGGGAGGCAGCAUG
This 245-nucleotide ribosomal RNA is filed under the name uncultured bacterium. Its description in RNAcentral is "partial 16S ribosomal RNA". It matches the Rfam family "Bacterial small subunit ribosomal RNA", at positions 108 to 353 of the family's 1533-position model. The record is from RNAcentral.